GAUGAACGCUGGCGGCGUGCUUAACACAUGCAAGUCGAACGGAAAGGCUCCUGCUUGCAGGGGUGCUCGAGUGGCGAACGGGUGAGUAACACGUGGGUGAUCUGCCCUGCACUUCGGGAUAAGCCUGGGAAACUGGGUCUAAUACCGGAUAGGACCACAUUUUGGAUGGUGUGGUGGAAAGUUUUUCGGUGUGGGAUGAGCUCGCGGCCUAUCAGCUUGUUGGUGGGGUAAUGGCCUACCAAGGCGUCGACGGGUAGCCGGCCUGAGAGGGUGUACGGCCACAUUGGGACUGAGAUACGGCCCAGACUCCUACGGGAGGCAGCAGUGGGGAAUAUUGCACAAUGGGCGCAAGCCUGAUGCAGCGACGCCGCGUGGGGGAUGACGGCCUUCGGGUUGUAAACUCCUUUCGCUAGGGACGAAGCGUUUUUGUGACGGUACCUGGAGAAGAAGCACCGGCUAACUACGUG
RNAcentral lists this ribosomal RNA (467 nucleotides) under uncultured bacterium. RNAcentral describes it as "partial 16S ribosomal RNA". It matches the Rfam family "Bacterial small subunit ribosomal RNA", at positions 28 to 507 of the family's 1533-position model. The record is from RNAcentral.